RNAcentral lists this transfer RNA (66 nucleotides) under Eubasilissa splendida. RNAcentral's name for it is "tRNA-Ser". The record is from RNAcentral. Lineage: Eukaryota; Metazoa; Arthropoda; Insecta; Trichoptera; Phryganeidae.
AAUUAAUAAGCUUUUAUAAGCAUUUGUUUUGAAAACUUAAGAAAGAAGAAUCUCUUCUAUUAAUUU